Molecule: ribosomal RNA, 343 nt
Filed under: uncultured bacterium
Lineage: Bacteria
Description: bacterial SSU rRNA
Rfam family: Bacterial small subunit ribosomal RNA
Source: RNAcentral
GAUGAACGCCGGCGGUGUGCCUAAUACAUGCAAGUCGUACGCACUGGCCCAACUGAUUGAUGGUGCUUGCACCUGAUUGACGAUGGAUUACCAGUGAGUGGCGGACGGGUGAGUAACACGUAGGUAACCUGCCCCGGAGCGGGGGAUAACAUUUGGAAACAGAUGCUAAUACCGCAUAACAACAAAAACCACAUGGCUUUUGUUUGAAAGAUGGCUUUGGCUAUCACUCUGGGAUGGACCUGCGGUGCAGUAGCUAGUUGGUAAGGUAACGGCUUACCAAGGCGAUGAUGCAUAGCCGAGUUGAGAGACUGAUCGGCCACAAUGGAACUGAGACACGGUCCAU